UGUGUGUGUGUGUGUGUGUGUGUGUGUGUGUGGUGUGUGUGUGUGUGUGUUUGUGUGUGUUUGAGUAGUGGGUGGAUGGGUCUGUGGCAAUUUGCCAACAGCAUCUGCAUUUUUUCAUCGUUUUUGUUUGCAAAUGAUUCGUUAGCCUCACACCGGAACCUGCUCACGCUCCACCUCCCCCUCCCCCUCCUCAACCGUAUGUUGCAAGCGGCGACGUGUGCUGCUUUUCAUUUCCGGUUGCAUAUUUGGCCUCAUACACAUUUACAUGCAGUUAGACAACCUGGCGCCCUCCGCUGCCACACCAAGAGGUUGCAUGCAAGUGUGUGUGUGUAUGAGUGUGCAACACAAUGUCGCAAGCGAGUGAUUGAUUACGUUCGAUUCACAUUGAUUUGCUGCAUUGAUUUCAGAAACAAACACUUCGUUGCAAGUACUAGGAGCGCACAGACGCCGCAUCCACAUGAGACUAUAUACGUACAUAUACGUGUAUAUAAGUAUGAAUGUGUUGCAUGUUGCAAGCAGCGCAAUUUGUUUGCCUUGAAUACACAAGCACAUUUUGUAUUUAAGUUUCAUUUCCACACACUAACAGAGUUGUAUGCGGUAUGUAUGUGUGUAUAUGUGCACGAGGGGGAUGGAUGUUGUUUGUGUUUGCAUUUCGUGUUGCAUGAGUCAACAAUAAUUUCAACUCUUGCAGUUUGAGGGAAAUUGAAAAUCAAAUGUGAACAUUUUAAGUAAACAUUGCUAUCGGCGCUGAUGGCAGCAACAGCUACACCAACAACUGCUACAACAGCAACAGCGCCACAAUAUGCCAACCUGUUACCAACCAACCGCCACCCGCCAUCCGCCACCGGCUACCUCCCGCCCUGGCAGCGUCACUAACUGUGCUUAAAACUGAUUUUUCCUCAUAUUUCCAUCGUUCGGUUGCAGUUCUGCCGUUGCUUUAAUGUAGGUGUUCUUGUUUGUAUAACUGUGUAAACGUGUGAAUUUUUCACUCAAAUCACAAAGUGCAUCAUUUUAACUUUUCACCAUAUGAAACUUGCAACUGCAACAUUGAUUUUGAUUUUGAUUUGGAUUUUCAGCACUCUCCGUCAAGUUCUGCUCUUGCUUGGUGAAUUUAAGUAGCUAUAACAAUAAAAACUACAACAAAAAUAAUAACAAAAAGAACAUAAACAACAGUAACAAAAACAAUGACGAUAACAAAGAACAAUCAUGGCAAUGAUCUGAUUUGAAAUCAUGAAAUGUGUUGAACACAACUGUGAAUUGAGCCAGCAAAGUGUAGCAAAUCGAAAGGAAAUCAAUGAAAACGACAUAUGAGUGCCUACGCUCACCGGCAGGCGAAAGCAUAAAAGGUAAAAUAAACUGAGAUUUCAAUGAAAAAAAUCAUUAGGGAUGCUCUACGAAGAACAGCUCUUCCAGCUAUUAAUAUUCUUGUGGAGAUUCGUUCUGCGCCAAACCGUUGCACGGGAGAUUCGAUUAGUCCGCGCUCAAGCUAUGCGCGAAGAAGUCACACCUGAAACAGCCUGGAUACUCGCUCACUCACUCACCGUUGCAUUGCGCUUUCAUCACCUGUUCUGACCAUCCGUACAUGUAAUUGCGCAAAACACUGGAUUCGCUGGAACUUACCUGAAAAGAUACAGAAAAGGGAGAUAUUUAGUAAAGUCGCAUCACUCCUCACUUGUUCCCCAGCUCAAGCCAUCCGUUGGAGUUUUUGACAGCUCCGCCGGAACCCUUUAUUCAUCACCUCGCGACAGGGUGGCCCGUCGCGCUUAUGACACCUUAACUGACAUAGUUAACUGAGCUACAGUAAAACCUGAGUAAGAGAGAAGAGAACUGAGGUUAUGAGAGAACUCUAUGGGUG
This is a long non-coding RNA of Ceratitis capitata (Mediterranean fruit fly), 1855 nucleotides long. RefSeq lists it as uncharacterized. The record is from RefSeq and is a predicted model, not a curated record. Lineage: Eukaryota; Metazoa; Arthropoda; Insecta; Diptera; Tephritidae. The transcript is spliced from 3 exons.